CCUACGGGAGGCUGCAGUGGGGAAUAUUGCGCAAUGGGCGAAAGCCUGACGCAGCGACGCCGCGUGAGUGAUGAAGGUCUUCGGAUCGUAAACCUCUGUCAGCAGGGAAGAACGGUCACUGUGCUAAUCAGCAGUGAAUUGACGGUACCUGCAAAGGAAGCACCGGCUAACUCCGUGCCAGCAGCCGCGGUAAUACGGAGGGUGCGAGCGUUAAUCGGAAUUACUGGGCGUAAAGCGCUCGUAGGCGGUAUGUCAAGUCAAGGGUGAAAUCCCCGCGCUCAACGUGGGAACUGCCUUUGAAACUGGCAAACUGGAGUGUGUGAGAGGAUGGUGGAAUGCCAGGUGUAGGAGUGAAAUGCGUAGAUAUCUGGAGGAACAUCAGUGGCGAAGGCGACUAUCUGGCACAUAACUGACGCUGAGGAGCGAAAGCGUGGGUAGCAAACAGGAUUAGAUACCCUAGUAGUC
RNAcentral lists this ribosomal RNA (465 nucleotides) under uncultured bacterium. RNAcentral's name for it is "partial 16S ribosomal RNA". It matches the Rfam family "Bacterial small subunit ribosomal RNA", at positions 338 to 795 of the family's 1533-position model. The record is from RNAcentral.